This 366-nucleotide ribosomal RNA is filed under the name uncultured bacterium. RNAcentral's name for it is "bacterial SSU rRNA". It matches the Rfam family "Bacterial small subunit ribosomal RNA", at positions 28 to 423 of the family's 1533-position model. The record is from RNAcentral.
GAUGAACGCUGGCGGCGUGCCUAAGACAUGCAAGUCGAGUGGGUUUAGACCCACGGCGAACGGGUGAGUAAUACCUAGGAACUUUGCUUAAGUUGAGGAUAUCCUCCCGAAAGGGAGAGCAAUACUCAAUGUGGUCGCAAGACCAAAGUCGCAAGACGCUUAAGUUGAGGCCUGGGCCCCAUCAGCUAGUUGGUAAGGUAAUGGCUUACCAAGGCUAUGACGGGUAGCGGAAGCGAGAGCUUGAUCCGCCACACUGGGACUGCGACACGGCCCAGACUCCUACGGGAGGCAGCAGUUUGGUAAUUUUGGUACAAUGGACAAAAGUCUGAUCCAGCGACGCCGCGUGCACGAAGAAGGCCUUCGGUU